RNAcentral lists this ribosomal RNA (497 nucleotides) under uncultured bacterium. RNAcentral describes it as "partial 16S ribosomal RNA". It matches the Rfam family "Bacterial small subunit ribosomal RNA", at positions 28 to 507 of the family's 1533-position model. The record is from RNAcentral.
GAUGAACGCUGGCGGCGUGCCUAAUACAUGACAGUCGAGCGAACAGACGAGGAGCUUGCUCCUCUGACGUUAGCGGCGGACGGGUGAGUAACACGUGGAUAACCUACCUAUAAGACUGGGAUAACUUCGGGAAACCGGAGCUAAUACCGGAUAAUAUAUUGAACCGCAUGGUUCAAUAGUGAAAGACGGUUUUGCUGUCACUUAUAGAUGGAUCCGCGCCGCAUUAGCUAGUUGGUAAGGUAACGGCUUACCAAGGCAACGAUGCGUAGCCGACCUGAGAGGGUGAUCGGCCACACUGGAACUGAGACACGGUCCAGACUCCUACGGGAGGCAGCAGUAGGGAAUCUUCCGCAAUGGGCGAAAGCCUGACGGAGCAACGCCGCGUGAGUGAUGAAGGUCUUCGGAUCGUAAAACUCUGUUAUUAGGGAAGAACAAAUGUGUAAGUAACUAUGCACGUCUUGACGGUACCUAAUCAGAAAGCCACGGCUAACUACGUG